Molecule: transfer RNA, 64 nt
Filed under: Pseudoxenodon bambusicola
Lineage: Eukaryota; Metazoa; Chordata; Lepidosauria; Squamata; Pseudoxenodontidae
Description: tRNA-Met
Source: RNAcentral
AGCAGAGUCAGCUAAAUAAGCUAUCGGGCCCAUACCCCGAAAAUGUCACCCCAGACCUCUACUA